CGUAGGUGACCUGCGGAAGGAUCAUUACUGAAGUGCUUGAAGAUGUUGCUGGCUUCUCUUUUUGAAGCAAUGUGCACUCUUUGAANGUUCACUAUCUCCUUCAAACCCCUUGUGCACUCCUUGUAGGGCUCUCCCCCCUUCAAACAGAGGGGAGGGAGACUCUAUGUCUUUUGCCAUUGUCACACAUUGAAUGUACAUGUAUGGUGCUUUUUACUAUGAUAAAAAAAAAACAACUUUCAACAAUGGAUCUCUUGGCUCUCGCAUCGAUGAAGAACGCAGCGAAAUGCGAUACGUAAUGUGAAUUGCAGAAUUCCGUGAAUCAUUGAAUCUUUGAACGCACCUUGCGCCUCUUGGUAUUCCGAGGGGCAUGCCUGUUUGAGUGUCAUUGAAAUAUCAAAAGCACGAACCUUGCUUUUGGAAUCUGGGGGUUUGCUGGCUUUUGAAUGGUCAGCUCCCCUUAAAUGGAUUAGCGAUGGGUUUUUUCAAUCCAAUCCAUGCUUGUUCUGGCAUUGAUAUGAUAUUUUCCAUGCCUGAGCUUUUAGCUGGUCUUUGAAUACUUGCUCAUUGCUUAUAGCGGUCCUCAUGGACAAAAAUUCUUGACAAACUUGACCUCAAAUCAGGUAGGACUACCCGCUGAACUUAAGCAUAUCAAUAAGCGGAGGAAAAGAAACUAACAAGGAUUCCCCUAGUAACUGCGAGUGAAGAGGGAAGAGCUCAAAUUUAAAAUCUGGCAGUUCUUUGAGCUGUCCGAGUUGUAAUCUAGAGAAGUGCUUUCUGCACUGGACCGUGNACAAGUCUCCUGNCNCUGGNCAUUUANAAGAAG
This 823-nucleotide ribosomal RNA is filed under the name Hygrocybe miniata. RNAcentral's name for it is "eukaryotic LSU rRNA". The stretch from base 232 to 385 matches the Rfam family "5.8S ribosomal RNA". The record is from RNAcentral. Lineage: Eukaryota; Fungi; Basidiomycota; Agaricomycetes; Agaricales; Hygrophoraceae.